GGGUGGGCUGCGCCGGGUGCCCGAGGUGGGCAGCCCAGCCUUUCCGCGGGGUUUGCGGCGUCCCUAGGCUUCCUGCCUCCCGGGCAGGGUCCCGGGCCCGCGGCCUCGAUCUCCUUCUUUUCGGGAGUAAACAUUAUUACCAUCCCAAGUUCACGGCUUGGAAAAGGAGGCUCAAAGAGUUGACCAGCCACCAGCCACAAAGCCUGUAAGUGAAGGCAUCUAGCUUCCUUCUACAAAGAGAAAGCCCAGGGCUUGGCGGCACCUUCUCACCACCGCUACCCCCAGCUUCCGUUCCCGGGGCUCUUCACGACCAGCUGGAGACUUCCAGAACCUCUCGAGGGAGCAGCUCUGCUCCAGGGAGCUCUUCUCCAUAAAUCAGGGCUCAGCGCCAAUGUCACUCUCUCCACGAUGUGCCCUCCUCUGUGCCUCGUGAUACAGCGCACACACUUCCGUGUUACAGUCUUGGCCCCUAGUCCACGAGGCUGUGCGCAGCAAGGAAAGGUGUUGUGGGAGUGACGAGCUGCGGAGCUCCUAAGCGGGGAGCUGAGGCCCCAUUUGGGUGGUCCUCCCCACCCCCAACCCUGAGGGUCUGCAGGUCAGUGGGCCUCCCCGCACCGUGCAGGGCAGUUCUGAGCACAGGCACCCCGAGGGCAGGGCACGGACUGGACCAGCCCCUGCAGGAGGCAUGAAACCCUAGAGAGCCUGUUCCCCACUACGUUCCAACUUUCUGGCUCCCUCGCCACCUGUUUUCUGAAUGCAGGCUUUCUUCACACCAAAAUCUGAGUUGCCAGAGACUUUUGGUGAGGCCAGCCGUGCUGAUGGCCAUGGGGCCAAGCUGGGCACAGAAAGGGUGCUGGUCAUUUUCUCGGAAGCUCCAGAGCCCAGGGUUUGCUCUGUUUCACUUUCAAGGCAAACAGAGAUUAAGGAAAAGACUGACGUCAGUAUUUCCCUCUCCGAGGUGAGAAAGCCAGCAAGUCCUGCAGAGCCUAAUAAUUCUGUCUUCUGCUGAAAGUGUGCAGGGCAGAGGCAAACAGCAAGUAGGCAUUGGGCAUCCAGCCAGGCUGCUGCGGUCCUCUUCCCUCCGUCACUGCCCUCUGCUCUCCGGGCGCUCCCUGGCUCACCCAUGCCCCGUCUCAACUGCCAGGCUUUUCACCUGUAACACAAGGCUCCCCGCCCCCACCACAUGGUCUGCACAGCUUUCUCUAGAAUAGUCUUUGCAGAGGGGCGAGCAGCCACCUACCACCAAACUUGUAAAAUCCGCCAGGGAAGAUGCACUUGAAAUAUGCAGUGCCUUUUUUAACUGUAAAAUCAUAUUGAGGUACAUUUUAAGAGUGUUUAUCAGACCUUCGAGCACUGAAGUUCUGGAAAAAUACAGUCUCCGGGACCUCCUCACUUGUGCGGCCAGGAGUCUUCAGAGAAACCCCCAAAUUGUUUUCCUGUUCACAGUUCCCUCCUUUGUUUGCCAACUAAGUCCCAGACAUACUUGAUUUGACUGUGAAGAAAUACUACUUGUUUAUCAUCAGUUACUAUCUAUGCCUAGUUGUCAUGUGGUACAAAAACAGUAAUAGGCAUCAUU
Long non-coding RNA from Balaenoptera acutorostrata (minke whale), 1576 nucleotides. RefSeq lists it as uncharacterized. The record is from RefSeq and is a predicted model, not a curated record. The transcript is spliced from 4 exons. Lineage: Eukaryota; Metazoa; Chordata; Mammalia; Artiodactyla; Balaenopteridae.